Chiloscyllium plagiosum (whitespotted bambooshark) is the source of this 1947-nucleotide non-coding RNA. The record is from RefSeq and is a predicted model, not a curated record. NCBI's taxonomy places the organism in Eukaryota, Metazoa, Chordata, Chondrichthyes, Orectolobiformes, Hemiscylliidae.
UCCGCUGGCGGCGGUCGACGUAGGUUAGUCGUUUCGGGCCGUGUUGGGCAUUUGUGAUCACGGUAACGGCAGCUUGCACACGCGAAAUAGCGAGUUUGAUGUUCACGGAUGAAAGCAGUGUCCAGUUCUGGAGCAGAGGCAUGUUGCUGGGUUCUGAGGAACAUCACUGUCCUAAUGCCCUAUUCCCACCCCCCACCACCGGCUUCAUUGCUUGCCUGGAGGGGCAAGUAUGUGGUCAGGGGAAUCGUGCCCUGAGCGCGGGCUGGGCAGACAGUGCCAAUAUCUGUGGGAGCUGAGCAGACCGAAGCAUAAAGGACCCUUGCAGCAUGUGACUUGGUGAAUUCUGAGCGCAUCUCCCCUUUUUAUAAAAGCAAAAGGGUCUUCCAUUUCAGAUAGGAGGAAGAGAAAUCUCUCAUCUUGGGCAGGACAUAUACGCACCCCAGACUGUGGUGGAGAGGCUGCAUUGGGCAUGUGCCCAGUUGGAGAUGGGUAGCCCUGUGACUACAGUGGGUGCAGAGCUGACUGCCCUAUUGAGGGGCUGAAUAGCCACAUGAUUGCCUGUGUGGAGUUGGUGGGGACAGGCAAUGGGUCAGGUUAGCAGUGACAGUGUCAACUGCCCCCUUUUUCCAAUGAAUUGGACCCGCUGACCCCCUGAUGUCGCAUUGGCAGGGUUACUGCCAAAGCUCGAUGGAUUGGUACCACCCUUUGAGGCUAUGGGGCUAAAGUCUGGCCUCCGACACAGUCCCCUGAUUUGUAAGUGAUGGUCACAUUGGCAAAUGGACCCUUCGCUGCAACUCUUCAAUGCCAGACUAAAUUAGUCCCACUUGCCAGCUCCACAUCCCUCUAAACCUUUCCCAUCCAGAUGCCUUUUUCAAUGUAACUUCUGGCCUCUCCUUCCUCUAGCAGCUUGGUCCAUAUGCGCUCCACCCUCUGAAAGAACUGGCUAGCUAGUACCUCCCAGCUAGCAGAGAUACAGUGAAUUUGGGGAAAUGGGAUGGGUCCUGGUCUAAUAGCUGAGGAUGACAGGCUCAGUAACUGAUGGGCUGCGAAUGCCAGUCAGUGGUUCUCUGGCCCGGUACAGGACUGGUGUAAUGUAGCAGAUACCCAUCGACAUGACUGAUGCCAGUCCUGUGACACUGCCCAAGAGAAGAUCUGGUUCUCUGGACUGGUCAGACCAUCUGAGAGUUGGCCGUUUCUCCCAUGGAGUCGCUUGGAGCGCUGACCACGCUGGGGAAUGCUGGGGUGGGGUGUGUGUGUGGGUGGGGAAGAGGGGAACACUCUUAGAUGAGCUGAACGACCUGUGUGUAGAGCAGCGUCUCAUGAGGGUGGGUCAGGGAGAGACCACCCUCUGCCAAGGUGAAUGUUGCUCGUGGAGCCAAGAGGGAUGGGUGCCGCCCAAUGCAAAUAUUGACAGGAGCCGAUCCUGGCUCCGCUGAGAUGUGCCAACGCUCGGCUGCUGCAUUCCUGUGGGGCACUGGGGAAAACCAGAGGGACAGCUUUCUGGGUUUGGUCUACACACACAGCAGCAUGUCCUUGCUCAGAGUUGCUCUUUUGUAAGAACACCACAAAGUUGCACAAAUUGUGGGGAUUUUGGAUGUAGUUUAGAAGCUCUUGCGUGGGAUGAGGAGGAAAGGGUGGGGGGGGGGGAAAUGGGGGUGAGCGAUCUGAGUGGUGUAUUAUACCCGUGUUGACCUGGCAAGCAGCAGCAGCAGAUGCUCAGGCACUCAAUGGGUUCAGUCCUUGAAGCAGGGCUAACCUGUUUGUCCAGGGAUAUUGCACACCUGAGCCGAUGGACCUCCCACUCACGAGGUCGGGACGCUACCUCAGUUACAAGAGCCCUUGAGCCUAAGCUAAUACUUUCAGCAGGGGGUGUGGGAGGAAGAGAACAUGUUUCAAAUUAAUAUUGGAAUUUCAAAUUAGAUGAAUAAAUGUGGAUUUGAAAUCUCA